This 88-nucleotide transfer RNA is filed under the name Secundilactobacillus collinoides. RNAcentral's name for it is "Lactobacillus collinoides tRNA-Leu". It matches the Rfam family "tRNA". Rfam says of the family: Transfer RNA (tRNA) molecules are approximately 80 nucleotides in length. Their secondary structure includes four short double-helical elements and three loops (D, anti-codon, and T loops). Further hydrogen bonds mediate the characteristic L-shaped molecular structure. tRNAs have two regions of fundamental functional importance: the anti-codon, which is responsible for specific mRNA codon recognition, and the 3' end, to which the tRNAs corresponding amino acid is attached (by aminoacyl-tRNA synthetases). tRNAs cope with the degeneracy of the genetic code in two manners: having more than one tRNA (with a specific anti-codon) for a particular amino acid; and 'wobble' base-pairing, i.e. permitting non-standard base-pairing at the 3rd anti-codon position. RNAcentral also lists the same sequence under 1 other name. Lineage: Bacteria; Bacillati; Bacillota; Bacilli; Lactobacillales; Lactobacillaceae. The record is from RNAcentral.
GCCGGAGUGGCGGAACUGGCAGACGCGCUGGACUCAAAAUCCAGUGUCCGUUGAGGACGUGUGGGUUCGAACCCCACCUCCGGUACUA